AGAAGCAAACAAGUCAGCUUACAUUGAAAUUCUAAAGAGGUUUCUGCAACAGUAAGAGACUCAAGCAAACCCAAUUCAAGAUACAACGGAUUACAAAUUCCUAGCAGGUUUCACCGCAGGCUUCGUUUCAUCGAUACCAAUAUCCGUGAUCAGUAUCUAUUUCAUCUACCUAAGAAUCUCCAAACACGUGCGCGAAAUUGUUA
RNAcentral lists this small RNA (203 nucleotides) under Brassica yellows virus. Lineage: Riboviria; Orthornavirae; Pisuviricota; Pisoniviricetes; Sobelivirales; Solemoviridae. The record is from RNAcentral.